AAGUCGUAACAAGGUUUCCGUAGGUGAACCUGCGGAAGGAUCAUUAGUGAAUAACCGCUUAUGUCUUCGCUUUGGCAAGGCAUUUGCAACCAAACACAUCCAUAACACCUGCGAAUUGUAAGGAAGUAGCUUGAAAGAGUCUUCCUGCCCUUUAUAAACAAUCAGUAGUACCAAAAGUAGUGUCAUUAUAAUCUAACAAAACUUUCAACAACGGAUCUCUUGGCUCUCGCAUCGAUGAAGAACGCAGCGAAAUGCGAUAAGUAAUGUGAAUUGCAGAAUUCAGUGAAUCAUCGAAUCUUUGAACGCACCUUGCGCUCUAUGGUAUUCCGUAGAGCAUGCCUGUUUGAGUGUCAUGAAAACAAUCAACCUUGACUUUGGNUUCAUUACCCAUGGACUUGGAUUGGAUUUUGGGUGUUUGUCGAUCUCAUGAUCGGCUCACCUUAAAUGAAUUAGCUGGACUUGUUUGUGAGGACUGGNUGGACUUGGCGUAAUAAGUANUUCGUCAAGNACAUUGCUUUAGUAAUGGNCAAACCUCUCAACGACUGUCUGNCUUCUAACUUUUGUGUUCAGUCUCACGACGUCGACACCUUUUUUAUGAUCUGGCCUCAAAUCAGGUAGGACUACCCGCUGAACUUAAGCAUAUCAAUAAGCGGAGGAAANGAAACUAACAAGGAUUCCCCUAGUAACGGCGAGUGAAGCGGNAAAAGCUCAAAUUUGAAAUCUGGUGNCCUCAGGUCAUCCGAGUUGUAAUCUAUAGAAACGUCUUCCGCAUCGGCUCAUGUACAANUCCCUUGGAACAGGGCGUCAUGGAGGGUGAGANUCCCGUUCUUGACAUGAACUACCAAUGCUAUGUGAUGCGUUUUCGACGAGUCGAGUUGUUUGGGAAUGCAGCUCAAAACGGGUGGUAAAUUCCAUCUAAAGCUAAAUAUUGGCGAGAGACCGAUAGCGAACAAGUACCGUGAGGGAAAGAUGAAAAGCACUUUGGAAAGAGAGUUAAACAGUAUGUGAAAUUGUUGAAAGGGAAACGAUUGAAGUCAGUCGUGUCUUUGGGAUUCAGCCUGUUCUGCAGGUGUACUUCCCAUUGACAGGGUCAACAUCAGUUUUGAUCGCUGGAUAAAGGUUAGAGGAAUGUAGCACUCUUGGGUGAACUUAUAGCCUCUGAUUGCAUACAGUGGUUGGGACUGAGGAACGCAGCUUGCCUUUAUGGCUAUGAGCUUAGGAUGUUGACAUAAUGGCUUUAAACGACC
This 1247-nucleotide ribosomal RNA is filed under the name uncultured fungus. RNAcentral describes it as "eukaryotic LSU rRNA". The stretch from base 601 to 1247 matches the Rfam family "Eukaryotic large subunit ribosomal RNA", at positions 1 to 649 of the family's 3401-position model. The record is from RNAcentral. Lineage: Eukaryota; Fungi.